UUGACAUACUAAGAACUUUCCAGAGAUGGAUUGGUGCCUUCGGGAACUUAGAUACAGGUGCUGCAUGGCUGUCGUCAGCUCGUGUCGUGAGAUGUUGGGUUAAGUCCCGCAACGAGCGCAACCCUUUUCCUUAUUUGCCAGCGGGUUAAGCCGGGAACUUUAAGGAUACUGCCAGUGACAAACUGGAGGAAGGCGGGGACGACGUCAAGUCAUCAUGGCCCUUACGGCCAGGGCUACACACGUGCUACAAUGGUCGGUACAAAGGGUUGCUACCUCGCGAGAGGAUGCUAAUCUCAAAAAGCCGAUCGUAGUCCGGAUCGCAGUCUGCAACUCGACUGCGUGAAGUCGGAAUCGCUAGUAAUCGCGGAUCAGAAUGCCGCGGUGAAUACGUUCCCGGGCCUUGUACACACCGCCCGUCACACCAUGGGAGUUUGUUGCACCAGAAGUAGGUAGUCUAACCGCAAGGAGGACGCUUACCACGGUGUGGCCGAUGACUGGGGUGAAGUCGUAACAAGGUAGGCGUAGAUGA
Molecule: ribosomal RNA, 529 nt
Filed under: uncultured bacterium
Lineage: Bacteria
Description: bacterial SSU rRNA
Rfam family: Bacterial small subunit ribosomal RNA
Source: RNAcentral